UAGGGAAUAUUGGACAAUGGGGGGAACCCUGAUCCAGCCAUGCCGCGUGGAGGAAGACUGCCCUCUGGGUUGUAAACUCCUUUUAUAUGGGAAGAACCGUCCUCAUUGAUGAGUGACCUGACGGUACCAUAGGAAUAAGCACCGGCUAACUACGUGCCAGCAGCCGCGGUAAUACGUAGGGGGCAAGCGUUGUCCGGAUUUACUGGGUGUAAAGGGCGCGCAGGCGGGAUAAAAAGUCAGUGGUGAAAUCCUACAGCUUAACUGUAGAACUGCCUUUGAUACUUUUAAUCUUGAGUUCGGGAGAGAGAGACGGAAUUCCAGGUGUAGUGGUGAAAUACGUAGAUAUCUGGAAGAACACCAGUUGCGAAGGCGGUCUCUUGGUCCGACACUGACGCUGAGGCGCGAAAGCGUGGGGAGCAAACA
RNAcentral lists this ribosomal RNA (423 nucleotides) under uncultured bacterium. Its description in RNAcentral is "bacterial SSU rRNA". It matches the Rfam family "Bacterial small subunit ribosomal RNA", at positions 355 to 774 of the family's 1533-position model. The record is from RNAcentral.